CGUGUAGGCGGGAAGGUAAGUCAGAUGUGAAAUUCCAGGGCUCAACUCUGGCGCUGCAUCUGAAACUAUCUUUCUUGAGUGAUGGAGAGGAAAGUGGAAUUCCUAGUGUAGCGGUGAAAUGCGUAGAUAUUAGGAGGAACACCAGUGGCGAAGGCGACUUUCUGGACAUUAACUGACGCUGAGGCGCGAAAGCGUGGGGAGCAAACAGGAUUAGAUACCCUGGUAGUCCACGCUGUAAACGAUGGAUACUAGGUGUAGGGGGGUAUCGACCCCCCCUGUGCCGGAGUUAACACAAUAAGUAUCCCACCUGGGGAGUACGGCCGCAAGGUUGAA
RNAcentral lists this ribosomal RNA (333 nucleotides) under uncultured bacterium. RNAcentral's name for it is "bacterial SSU rRNA". It matches the Rfam family "Bacterial small subunit ribosomal RNA", at positions 568 to 898 of the family's 1533-position model. The record is from RNAcentral.